RNAcentral lists this ribosomal RNA (287 nucleotides) under Podogymnura truei minima. RNAcentral describes it as "partial small subunit ribosomal RNA". The record is from RNAcentral. Lineage: Eukaryota; Metazoa; Chordata; Mammalia; Eulipotyphla; Erinaceidae.
GAGGAGCCUGUUCUAUAAUCGAUAUACCACGAUACACCUCACCAAUUCUUGCUAAUUCAGUCUAUAUACCGCCAUCUUCAGCAAACCCUGAUUAAGGAACAAAAGUAAGCAUAAUCAUUUCUACAUAAAAACGUUAGGUCAAGGUGUAACUCAUGAAUUGGGAAGCAAUGGGCUACAUUCUUUAACUAAAAGAAUUAACGAAAGUUUCUAUGAAACUAGAAACCAAAGGAGGAUUUAGUAGUAAGCUAAGAUUAGAAAGCUUAACUGAAAGAGGCAAUGAAGCACGU